GAUGAACGCUGGCGGCGUGCCUAAUACAUGCAAGUCGAGCGAACGGACGAGAAGCUUGCUUCUCUGAUGUUAGCGGCGGACGGGUGAGUAACACGUGGAUAACCUACCUAUAAGACUGGGAUAACUUCGGGAAACCGGAGCUAAUACCGGAUAAUAUUUUGAACCGCAUGGUUCAAAAGUAAAAGACGGUCUUGCUGUCACUUAUAGAUGGAUCCGCGCUGCAUUAGCUAGUUGGUAAGGUAACGGCUUACCGAGGCAACGAUGCAUAGCCGACCUGAGAGGGUGAUCGGCCACACUGGAACUGAGACGCGGUCCAGACUCCUACGGGAGGCAGCAGUAGGGAAUCUUCCGCAAUGGGCGAAAGCCUGACGGAGCAACGCCGCGUGAGUGAUGAAGGUCUUCGGAUCGUAAAACUCUGUUAUUAGGGAAGAACAUAUGUGUAAGUAACUGUGCACAUCUUGACGGUACCUAAUCAGAAAGCCACGGCUAACUACGUG
This 497-nucleotide ribosomal RNA is filed under the name uncultured bacterium. RNAcentral's name for it is "partial 16S ribosomal RNA". It matches the Rfam family "Bacterial small subunit ribosomal RNA", at positions 28 to 507 of the family's 1533-position model. The record is from RNAcentral.